Molecule: ribosomal RNA, 253 nt
Filed under: uncultured bacterium
Lineage: Bacteria
Description: partial 16S ribosomal RNA
Rfam family: Bacterial small subunit ribosomal RNA
Source: RNAcentral
UACGUAGGUGGCAAGCGUUGUCCGGAAUUAUUGGGCGUAAAGCGCGCGCAGGCGGUCCUUUAAGUCUGAUGUGAAAGCCCACGGCUCAACCGUGGAGGGUCAUUGGAAACUGGGGGACUUGAGUACAGAAGAGAAGAGUGGAAUUCCACGUGUAGCGGUGAAAUGCGUAGAGAUGUGGAGGAACACCAGUGGCGAAGGCGACUCUUUGGUCUGUAACUGACGCUGAGGCACGAAAGCGUGGGGAGCAAACAGG